RNAcentral lists this ribosomal RNA (948 nucleotides) under Clostridium sporogenes. RNAcentral's name for it is "bacterial SSU rRNA". It matches the Rfam family "Bacterial small subunit ribosomal RNA", at positions 8 to 972 of the family's 1533-position model. Lineage: Bacteria; Bacillati; Bacillota; Clostridia; Eubacteriales; Clostridiaceae. The record is from RNAcentral.
AGAGUUUGAUCCUGGCUCAGGACGAACGCUGGCGGCGUGCUUAACACAUGCAAGUCGAGCGAUGAAGCUUCCUUCGGGAAGUGGAUUAGCGGCGGACGGGUGAGUAACACGUGGGUAACCUGCCUCAAAGUGGGGGAUAGCCUUCCGAAAGGAAGAUUAAUACCGCAUAAUAUAAGAGAAUCGCAUGAUUUUCUUAUCAAAGAUUUAUUGCUUUGAGAUGGACCCGCGGCGCAUUAGCUAGUUGGUAAGGUAACGGCUUACCAAGGCAACGAUGCGUAGCCGACCUGAGAGGGUGAUCGGCCACAUUGGAACUGAGACACGGUCCAGACUCCUACGGGAGGCAGCAGUGGGGAAUAUUGCGCAAUGGGGGAAACCCUGACGCAGCAACGCCGCGUGGGUGAUGAAGGUCUUCGGAUUGUAAAGCCCUGUUUUCUAGGACGAUAAUGACGGUACUAGAGGAGGAAGCCACGGCUAACUACGUGCCAGCAGCCGCGGUAAUACGUAGGUGGCGAGCGUUGUCCGGAUUUACUGGGCGUAAAGGGUGCGUAGGCGGAUGUUUAAGUGGGAUGUGAAAUCCCCGGGCUUAACCUGGGGGCUGCAUUCCAAACUGGAUAUCUAGAGUGCAGGAGAGGAAAGCGGAAUUCCUAGUGUAGCGGUGAAAUGCGUAGAGAUUAGGAAGAACACCAGUGGCGAAGGCGGCUUUCUGGACUGUAACUGACGCUGAGGCACGAAAGCGUGGGUAGCAAACAGGAUUAGAUACCCUGGUAGUCCACGCCGUAAACGAUGGAUACUAGGUGUAGGGGGUAUCAACUCCCCCUGUGCCGCAGUUAACACAAUAAGUAUCCCGCCUGGGGAGUACGGUCGCAAGAUUAAAACUCAAAGGAAUUGACGGGGGCCCGCACAAGCAGCGGAGCAUGUGGUUUAAUUCGAAGCAACGCGAAGAACCUU